AAGUUAGCGUAGUAUCACUGCUGCCUAACACUAAACAAGAUCUCUCUCUCAGGCCCCCGACCCCGAUGGUUUCCUCGCACACCCAUCACAUGGCCGCCUCCUCCCCUUCCACCUCCUCCCCUAAUGGCAGAUGCUAGGCGGCGGCGCCCCUCUUGAGAAGUGAAAGGGAAAGAUUUGUUUUGCCGCCCGCGCCCUGCUCAGGCGCUCCGCCUCGGUCGGGCCACACAAGGUAGCGCCUUCCGCCUCGUUGCCUGACCCAUUCCUGUUUCGUUCGAAGCACUGAAGCAGCCCCAGACCGACGCCAGGCGCCCAGGCCAGUGGUCGACGCCUGUGGUGAGCUGAUAGGCGAUGUCGUCACCGUCUCCGGUGCUGGCAAGGGCUGCGCGUCUCACGUGUAGGUUGUGAUCUUUCUGCCCAGAGAUGUGCGAUUUGUCUUCGCUUGAUCUGAGUGACAGUAAAACGGAGACCGGCUAGUGUUGUUCCUGAAACCUGUUGAUUUAUGGGGAGCCAGACAAUCGCAUCACAGGCUGGGGGAGGUGGAAGAGGCAUGGGUAGUAGUGGUGGUGCCGGUGCAGCGCAACGCGGGCAGAUGCAGAGUCUGGCAAGACAAGGGUCUCUGUAUAACCUUACCCUUGAUGAGGUGCAGAGCCAUUUGGGAGAACCCCUACACAGCAUGAACCUUGAGGAGCUGCUGAAGAGUGUCUUUCCUGAUGACCUGGACCCUGAUGGUGGCACUACCAGCCAAUAUGAGCAGAGUUCGGGCCUCUUGCGACAGGGAAGUAUCACAAUGCCGCCUGAGCUCAGCAGGAGAACUGUGGACGAGGUGUGGAAGGACAUCCAGGAUGCACCAAACAGAAAUGUUGGGGAGAGUGGUCGGCGGAAGCGGGAGCGGCAGCCAACGCUUGGAGAGAUGACGCUUGAGGAUUUCUUGGUGAAAGCUGGGGUUGUCGCCGAAGGAUAUCUGAAGGACUUGAAUGGCAUAGGCAGUGUGGAACAGGUUGGUAGCACUGGGGCUGCGGGUUUGACAGCAGGGGCACAAUGGUUAGACCACUAUCAGCAGCGGAUUACAGCUAUCGAGCCCCAUCAGCACAGGCAACAUAGUUUGCCAGGUGCUUACAUACCGGGUCAGUUAAGCCUUCAGUCCCUGAAUGUUGGACCAAGUGCUAUUUUGGAGUCAUACUCUGAUGGCCACAUUUCUUCACCGAUGAUGGGUGCACUUUCUGAUUCUCCGAUGCCUGGUAGAAAGCGUGGUUCCCCAGGAGAUGUGGCUGAUAAGUUGGUGGAGAGAAGGCAGAAGAGGAUGAUCAAGAAUAGGGAGUCAGCUGCUCGUUCAAGGGCUAGGAAGCAGGCAUACACUAAUGAACUGGAAAACAAGGUUUCUCGAUUAGAAGAGGAGAAUAAGAAGCUAACCACGUUAAAGCGACAUAUAUAUCCGAACGGGAACGGAGGUAGUAUUUUGUGAUAUUAUUAGAGAAUGGGCAGAAGCAAUUUCCUGACAUCGUAUUCUGACAAUCAAUUUCUCAUGUGCCAAUAAAUAAAUAAAAACCAAGAUACUGGUGUGCUGAUCCAAAUGCUAAGAUAGUUGGCCUGAUUUCUUGGUUCUUUAAUUUAGAUCAAUACAGCUCCCAUGGAGUUGGAAAAUAUACUUUUCUCUGAGCCUCUUCCGGAACCCAAGUACCAACUGAGGAGAACCGGCUCAGCGACUUUCUGAUUGUAUGCAGAAUAUCUUGUUUUGCUGUAGGUUGUAAGUCCUGUAGCUUGUAAGUUUUUUUGUCUCUUUGGUUUAGAAUCAUUUGCUAGCUUGGGAGUUUUUGUUUAUCCUAGCUCGAUGGUUUGCUCUCUCCCUCCCUCCCUUUCUCUAGACUAGCAGGAGCCGAGCAUGUGCUGUCCGAGGCCUUGCUACCAGUAUAGUAUGUAAAAUCUUCAGGACACAUGUAGGUGGUCGGAGCUUGUUUACAUGGUGUGACUUAACAGAUGGAUACAUAUAACUAUGAGAAGUAUGGGAGCCCUUUCUUUGGUAACCGGAGUUAAAUGACUUGACUCUUCU
Zea mays is the source of this 2047-nucleotide RNA transcript. RefSeq lists it as uncharacterized. The transcript has 5 exons. Lineage: Eukaryota; Viridiplantae; Streptophyta; Magnoliopsida; Poales; Poaceae. The record is from RefSeq and is marked provisional.